UACGGAGGGAGCUAGCGUUGUUCGGAAUUACUGGGCGUAAAGCGCGCGUAGGCGGCUUUGUAAGUUAGAGGUGAAAGCCCGGGGCUCAACCCCGGAACUGCCUUUAAGACUGCAUCGCUUGAAUCCAGGAGAGGUGAGUGGAAUUCCGAGUGUAGAGGUGAAAUUCGUAGAUAUCCGGAAGAACACCAGUGGCGAAGGCGGCUCACUGGACUGGUAUUGACGCUGAUGUGCGAAAGCGUGGGGAGCAAACAGG
This 253-nucleotide ribosomal RNA is filed under the name uncultured bacterium. RNAcentral's name for it is "partial 16S ribosomal RNA". It matches the Rfam family "Bacterial small subunit ribosomal RNA", at positions 524 to 776 of the family's 1533-position model. The record is from RNAcentral.